Non-coding RNA from Elaeis guineensis (African oil palm), 2212 nucleotides. The record is from RefSeq and is a predicted model, not a curated record. NCBI's taxonomy places the organism in Eukaryota, Viridiplantae, Streptophyta, Magnoliopsida, Arecales, Arecaceae.
UUUUCUGUUGGCGAAACCUAUAGAUUCUCUCAUUUUUUUUUUAGAGAGGGCUCGGAGGAACCAUCAUUCAUUCACCAUUGUUCUCAUUGCUGGAGUCAAGGUGAGAAGUCUUUACUCCAACUCCAUCUUCUCCCCAUCCCUUAGCUAUUAUCGAUGAUCAGAAUAUGACCGACAAGUCGCCGGAUUUGCUUUUGAAGUCUAAGUCCCCCGUUUUUCUUUUUUUCUUAGUUUCCACUGGACCGGCUACCCUUUCCGGAUGUGGUUGUACCGAGGUGUCCAAGGGCCAAAACCACCGGGGGUGGUUGUUACCGUUUGGGGUCGCUGCCAUAGGGAUGGCUGAGGUACGACUGUUUGCACAAUGUAUUGAGCAGAACAUCUUGCUUCUGAGUUCAUAGAUCGAGAAGUUCAUCGAUUACUAUGUUUGACUCAAUCAUCGAUAGAGACUUGCAGGAUGCGUAGGAUCGACCAAGUUGAGUGUAGAGUUUUGCUCGAUGGAGUCCUUAGUUAAUUAAUUUUCUGAUACCAAGCAAAUUUUUUAAUUUUUUGAACAUUGUUCAAUAAAGAUGGAUUUAUUGAUUUAAUAAAUAUGAUUGAAACUUUAUAAUGCUUUCGGUGCUCUUGUGGACUUGUUUAUUUUUUAAGUCUUCCAUAUUCUUUAGGACUUGCUCUAAGGAGUGUAUGACCAUCACGUAUCCAAUUUGGAUACUAGAUUCGGAGCGUGACAGAGUGAUAUCAGAGCUUAGGUUUAAAGUUACUAGGAACUGUGAUAUAAGUGAUAUCAAAACUUUGGAUAUAAUCAAUAGAGUGUGACAAAACAGUAUCAUAGCUUAUGGUUAUGAUCUUUAGAGAUUGUGAUUUAAGAAGUAUUUGAGCAUAAUAUUAUGAUUAUUAAGGAUGUGAUAGAAUAAUUGAGAGCUUAGGUUAUGAUCAUCAGGGACUGUGAUCUGAAUAGCAUUUGAGUAUAAAGUUAUGAUCAUUAGGAAUUGUGAGAGAGGUGAUUCAUAGGAUUUGAAUUUUAAUGGAUAAUUUAUAUCUUAGAUUGUAAAUCGAGAAAUUGAUAAUCUAUAAUUUCAUUGGUUCAAAAAUUAUUUAGCAAAUUCGAGAUAUUCGGUGGAUUAAAUCAGAGUGCGCAGCAAAAGCAUGGUAGUUUAAGUCAUUUAAAUUUGAUUGAAAAGAUUGAUUUAAUUUAGAGGAUGUUAUGUUGGAGGAUUGAAAUUUUCUUUCAAAGAAAGAAUGCUAUUUAGGAGCCCAAGGAUAGGAUAGGACUUUUGUACCUUUAAGGUUCGACAUUGCAGCAAGCUUAUUUCGAGGAUAAAAUUAUUUUAAGAGGAGAUAAUUUAAAGACCUAGAUUAAAAAAAAAUUUCACAUGGAUCUUGAAGCAUUCAAACAAAAAAAUAUUUUUUUUGCUGCAUGUGCUCUGCAUGUGAGUGGAGGAAGGAGGACUUUUGAUUAGAGUCUUCCUCCUCUACAUUUUCGUUUGGGAAAAGGACUCCUAGGGCUCGUUGGAGUCCGACAAAAGCCCUAGGAACUGAUCUAUAAAAAGAGCCCCAAAUCCUCCUCUUAAGCAUCGCCUCCUCGUCUCUAAUUUUUUGCUGAUGAAACCCAUAGAUUCUCUCGAAUUUUUUUGGAGUGGGCUCGGAGGAACCAUUAUUGAUUCACUAUUGAUCUCAUUGUCAGAGUCAAGGUAAGAGGUCUCUACUCCAACUCCAUCUUCUCCCCGUCCCUUAGCCAUUGUCGGUGAUCAGAAUAUGAUCGACAAGUCAUCAGAUUUGCUUUUGAAGCCUAAGUUCUCUGUUCUUCUUCUUUUUCUUUGUUUCCACCGAUCCAGCUACCCUCAUCGAAUGCAGUUGUACCUAGGUGUUCGAAGGCCGAAACCAUUGAGGGUGGUUGUUGCCAUUUGGGGUCACCGCCGUAGGGACGGCUGGCAUUUACCUUUCCCCUCCCCUGUUUUUGUGAAGAAGAAGAUAGAAUAAAAUGAGAGAAAAAAAAAAAGAAAAGCAAAGAAAAGAAAAGGAAAAGAAAAGAAAAGAAAAAAAGAGUCUCUUUUUUCCCUCUCUCUUCACUCUACCUUCUCUGUCCACUUCCUCUCCUUAAUUCUCUCUAUAAUUUCUCUCUCUAAAAAUCCUAGGGACAGUAGAGGGUCCGACUGUUUAGAUACAUCCUAAUUAAUCUGUUAACCCUACGAGGAGUGUUGGACCUAUAGUGCUAGGG